This 276-nucleotide ribosomal RNA is filed under the name uncultured bacterium. RNAcentral's name for it is "partial 16S ribosomal RNA". It matches the Rfam family "Bacterial small subunit ribosomal RNA", at positions 524 to 796 of the family's 1533-position model. The record is from RNAcentral.
UACGGAGGGUACGAACGUUAAUCGGAAUUACUGGGCGUAAAGCGCGCGUAGGCGGUUUGAUAAGUGGGAUGUGAAAGCCCCGGGCUUAACCUGGGAACUGCAUUCCAAACUGUCAGACUAGAGUAUGGGUAGGAGGCUGGAGUAAUUUCCUGUGUAGCGGUGAAAUGCGUAGAUAUAGGAAGGAAUACCGAUGGCGAAGGCAGCCAGCUGGACCAAUACUGACGCUGAGGUGCGAAAGCGUGGGGAGCAAACAGGGAUUAAGAUACCCGGUAGUCC